This 10154-nucleotide long non-coding RNA is filed under the name Pelobates cultripes (western spadefoot toad). The record is from RNAcentral. Lineage: Eukaryota; Metazoa; Chordata; Amphibia; Anura; Pelobatidae.
AGAAAAUUAAUUGCAAAGUGUACGAGUCUCAGCGAUGUUAAUAUGACAGAGGUAAAGAUUUAGAAUUGUUACAUACGGUAGAUUAGUACUGGAGCAAGUGGAACCAUUUCAUGAUUACAUAUUUGCUAUUUCACAGUAAUAGAUGGGGUUUUUGUGUUUUUUUUAAACAUUUAUAAAACUGCGCAUUUGAGUAGUUGCAGAUUAUAUAACUCAUCCUUUGAUCUGGUUUGACGUAUUUACCUUUUAUACUAUGAUUGAUUUUUCCUAAAACAUAUACUUUUACAAGGAUCCGGAGUGGGGUAUGUCUAGCUCAGGGUUAUGGAUGAAUUCUUUGCUCAAUAUAUCUAUACCUUGCCAGUUUUUAUUAGAGGCUACAUAUUUGGAGUUCCUGAAUUUGCUACAGUCCCUUUCCUUUGCAGCUUCUAUAGUGAGCUCUAGAGUGAGCUCCCCAGCUCACAUAUCUUUAUACAGUACUACUAAGCUUAUAUCAUAGGCUGUGUACUCUCCUUACAUUUACAGUCUACAAUUUUCCUACACGUCUUCAUUCAUUUGUUUAACUAGAUACAAGCUAUAUGCCUGGAGAUCUCGCUUUUCAACAUGUUCUUAAUCUUGUAAGAUGCCUUCUAUGGACUGUAAGCCCACUGGGGGAGAACCAUGUUCACUAUCUAUUCCUGUUAUCACGUUUGUCUCUUUUUUGCCCUAUUGCAAAAUCUUCUUCUACAGACCUCAGCUGUUUGGUGCAAUAGGUUAAAGGGACACUCCAGGCACCCAGACCACUUCUGCCCAUUGAAGUGGUCUGGGUGCCAGCUCCCAUCACCCUUAACCCUGCAAGUGUAAUUAUUACAGUUUUUAUAAACUGCAAUAAUUACCUUGCAGGAUUAAGUCCUCCUCUAGUGGCUGCCUAUCAGACAGCCACUAGAGGGACUUCCCGGUUCUUAAAACACAAAAGUGUUUUAAAUGACGCUGGACACGUCACUGCAAACUCCACAGGAAAGCAUUGAAUGAUGCUUUUUUUCUAUGGCGAGGUCUAAUGCAUGCGCGGCCAUUGCCACGCAUGCGCAUUAGGUCUCCCCCGCUGGCUGACGUCGGAGGGGGGGCGUGGGCGGAUCCUAACCCAGCGCCGAGGGACAUUGGCACUAGAUUCCGGUAAGUCACUGAAGGGGUUUUAACCUUUUCAGCAACAUGGGAUGGGGGGUGGACGGGAAGGGGACACUGAAAACAGAUUUGUUUUCCUGGUACUGGAGAGUCCCUUUAAGUGGUGGGUUAGUGGUAAAUCGUUUGGCAUUUCAAGUAUUCCCAUAUUUAUGGAUUACCCACAAUUCAGUGAGAGUAUGCAGGAACACAGGAGAAUCUUUCUGGCUUACUCAAGCCCCAUGAGUAACAAAAACAAAUCAGUUUUACUUCCAGUUUCAAAAAAGUUUUCAGUAAAAUUUGCAAUACAUAUGUUUUUACUUUUUAAUUUGUAACCUAGUCUCCAAACCAGUGUUGUGAUAUUAAUUUAACAAGUGCUAAUUUGUUGCAGAGUACAGAUAAUGUGGGUGUAAUAUAUUUCACUGCAUAUUUACAAUGACUUGUCAAAACUUUCAUAAAAAAAGAGCAGAAGUUGAUAGGCUGAUAGCAAAUUCUUGCUGUAAUAACUUUUUAUUCCAAAAUAUAGUAGACACAAGCGUAUUGUACAACAGACAGGUGUAGGUAAAAGGCAACCAAAAUAUCAUCAAACCAUUCAUGUUAUAUUACCUGCAAAAUUGCAAAUGAUAGUUAAUUAAAAGCAGACUGUCUUAUGUUUGACCAGCAACAAAUAUUUGGUCUUAUCAAGGUCAUAUCGCUUUCAUCUAUGUUUAUUUAUUUUUUACUUAGUCAUUUAGCAUUCUUUUAAAAUAAUAUUUCUAAAUAUAAGAACUAUUGUUUUUUUCCGUCUUUUAUUGUUUAAACAAAGCGGUUACAAAUGACAGUGUGGUCAACAAUUACAUUUUAAAUAUAAUACAGUACAUUUGCAUCGUGGUCACCUUCUAAGUCCCACAUAUACCGGUGUAGAACUGCUGUUGUGUAGGGGUAUGUAGGGGUGGCUGUACACUACAGUGUUUUGUUAAUUUGUAUAUUAUGGGCAGAGUUUCUUCAUAUCUAACAUUGGUAGAAGUGUGCCCUACUAGUGGCACAUAGCCACUCGUCCCGAAGACUAGUUGUGUUGUUUGCCUGUAAGGCGGUGGUUUUGUUGUGCUGGUCACUGAGUAUAAGAACUAUUUUUUAUUUGACAAUUUUUAUUGUUUUCCAAAUAUUCAUGGGGUGCAAAAAAGAAAGGGGAGUGGUUAAUGGGGAACAAUUGGCAUUGUAUUCAGGUACCAUACACGUGGGCUCCAACCCUGGAGGUCCAAGUAGGACAGAUGUAUUACUUAUCAGACAGCACAUUAUAUUCGUUUGCAAUUGCCUAUUCCCUCUACUCUUUGGGUUUAGACACUCCUCUUUGUUUGGGAGCUACAUUUAGUGGCCCCUCUCCUUGUUGGCUUUAUGAUGUGGUUCCAUCCUUGGUAAAUUAGAAUAGUGUGGCUUGGUUGUGUUUUUGGAUCAUUGUGUCUAUCUAGCCCUGUGUUUUUUAUAUACUCUUGUGUUUGGGUAGCUCGAGACCAUGCUUGUAGAGGGGACAUCUGUCCUUAUAGGUGUAGAGACCCCUGUGUUUUAACGCAAGUUGGUACAGUACAGAUAUAUCAUGGCUAGUGGACUCCCCAGAGGGGGGAAGGGGGUAACCAGAUAUACUAGGGAACAAAGAAGAACCGGUGUGUGAGCAGGUAUCGUGCAACUUGUGUACUCUGACCUGCAACUGCUAUUCAGUGCCCGUGUGUUGUAUAUAUACCACACCCGAGCCUGCGAGUGGGGUGAGCUCUUCAUGCCUAGUAGCUGCCAUUAGAUCAUAAUUUUCCUUCAUUGGCGGUGGUGUUAAGUAUUAAGGCAAGAGAGCAUGUGGUAAAAGUGCAGGUAAGUGCCAGAUGGAUCAUAGUGUGGGCGCAGAUGGGGUAUUCAGUACUCGGGGUAAAGUUGGUUGCAGAUAUGUUCAAUAACGGGUUGCGUGAGACCUGGUUGGGUUUGUUCAAGCGUUAUGUACAGUUUAACCUGUACUCCUCCUUCGUGAGGAUGUUAAUCAUUCCCUGUUGCUAUGGGGAGGGCAGGAAGGUUGGUAUUGCUGCUUAAGUUGUUCAUGGUGGCCCAUCUUUGGGUCCAUAAGUCUACUGCCCUUUGUGUGUCGGUGUCUGCUCUAAUUUGUGCGUUUGCCGUGCUUUCGUAGGCCGAGUUCACUGUUAUUUUGCUUAGUAGUUCCUCCUUUGAAGGUGCAUUUUUUGUUUUCCACUGUCUAGUGAUCAAUGUGUUAGCUGCUAUCAAGAUGUGGAAUAGGAGUUUGCGUUCUAUUCGUGGUAUAGGUUUCUGUUCCAUGAAGAGUAGACACAUCUCCAGUGUCAGAGGCAUGCUUCGAGGCGUGGUUUGGGUCACUAUUGUACCAUCCAUGUCCCAGUAUUGUCGUAUGAUGGGGCAUGUCCACCAAACAUGAUACAUAGUGCCUGUCUCACCUCCACAUCUCCAACAAGUGUUGGAGGUGCCCAGAAAUAUGUGCGCCAACCUGUCCGGGACCAGUUACCAACGAUAUUGUAGUUUCCGAAUGAGUUCGCAGAGGUUCGCUUUUGUGCAAUUUAUAGAGUUUGGUGAUACACCACACCUCCUUCCACUGUUCGACAAGGGUUCUAGUGCUAGCACGUAAAGGAGCUGUGAAAGUGGGCAGCCUUGACGGGUUCCAUUUGUAAUACUAAACCGGGUGGAUAGGAACCCUACGUUGAGUACUUGUGCCACUGGGUCCGCAUAAAGCGCUCUGACCGCCGAGAGAAAGGUCCCCGGAGCACCAAUCUUUCUCAGCACUGCAUCCAUGAACCCCCAGCUCAGACGGUCGAAGGCCUUCUCCGCGUCCAGUGAUAGCAAUAAACCCUUACAUUUGGUGUUGCGUAGAACGUGUAGGACAUCUAUUGGUGUCUGUGUUUAGGAGGGAAAUCGGUCUGAAAUUCUGCAGGCUUGUGGGCGAUUUGCCUGGUUUCGCCAGUGUGACUAUAUGUGCUAACAGGAUCUCAGGUGGGAGUGAGUGGGAGGUUAUGGCUCCUGCUUAGUCAGCUGCGGGGCUAAGUCGUCUCAAAAUUUUUUAUAGUAGGAGUUAGCAAACCUGUCUGGUCCAGGCGAUUUGCCUGCGGGUAGCAAUAGCAUAGUAAGUUUGACCUCUGUCUCUGUUAUUGACGCCGCUAGGUCAGAUUUGUGUUGGUGGAAUAAUUGCGAUAGUUGUAUGGUGUCUAAGUAAUGUGUAAUGUCUUCCCCCGUAGGUGGAUGGGUGUUCGGGUCUCGAUGUAGGUUAUAGAGGUCCGACUAGUUUGCUGAGCACUCGUCACUUAUGUCCUUCGGGGACAUGAGCUUGUGGCCAGUCCGCGAUGUUAAGUGCGCGAUAGCUUGGUUGGCUUGUUUUUGUUUGAGUCUGUUAGCUAUGAGUUUCCCCGCUUUGUUCCUUUGUGAGUAUUGUGUGGCUUUCAUCUUUCGUAUAUUGAAUCCCACUUUGUUUAGGGCAUGUUGUUGUAUGUUCUGUUUGUACAGUGUGUUGAUUGAGGAAGUUUUGCCAUUACGCUGAAUUAUUAGUUUUGUAGGGAACCCCCACCUGUACAUAAUGUGCUGAUCUUGCAGAAUGCUAGUGAUGGGAGUGAAAGUCUUUCUCUUCCUCAGGAUGGGAGCUGAAAUGUCUGCGAAAAUCUUAGCCGUGCGGUAUUUGGGGGGUAGAUCCAUCUUCGUCCUGCUGGAUUUUAGGACUAUUUCUUUUAUGUGAUAAUGAUGCAUCUUUAAGAUGAUAUCCCUUGGUAGAUCUUGCGGUAGGAAUGAUGGUUUGGCAACCCAGUGUAUACGGUCCAUGAGCAGCAUGUCUUGGGGUACCUCGGGGGCUAUUAUAUGAAAUAAUUCUGUGAUAUAAGCUUGGAGCUCUUGUGCUCCUAUCUCCUCAGGUACCCCCCUGACCCAGAGGUUAACUCACCGUGACCGUUCCUCGAUGUCUGCCAGUUUGGAUUUAUAGCUGUCUAACUGAGCUCUCAGCUCUUGCACCUCAGAAGUCAGAGCGUUGUGGACUUUCGCGAGUUUUGCCAUUUUGAGCGUGGAGGUGCGGCUACCCAGUUCCUGGAUAUCGCUGCGGAGGUAGCAGAAGGACUGCUGGAGAUUGCUUUGUAGUUUAGCUGCCAUCGUAUCCAGCAAGUUUUGCAGCAUUUCACUGGUGAGUGGUGUGCUUGGAGAGGGAGGCCUCUGUGUUAGCUCUUGGUCAGUAUCGCCGCCAUCUUGGGUAGCUGGAUUUGCCGGUCUUGAGUAGCUGGAUUUGACUCAGAACAAGUUAUGUUUGUCUGUUUUGUCCGCAUUCCGUUUUCCUUUGUGGGGGGAUAUUCUGUAUAGGCCUGGAAGUGCCGAAUUUUGAGGCUUAAUUAUUGCCUAAGGGCCGAUUUUUCACGGAGCUAGCAGCACAUGCAACUGUUCUCCGUCCACUCCAGGACACAUCCCCUUGGUAUAAGAACUAUUUUAAUAGCAUUAUUAGUAAACAUAGUUAUAAACUAUAAGUAUGAUUGGUUGGUCGCUUGGAUGGUGGUCAGGUGUGUUGGGUCAUGAAUGGAAUCACAAGAGUAUUUUAAUGAUGUUAGUAGGGUGUUAAUAGGACUGUAUUUAAAAUAAGACUAUAGCAUUAGUUCCACAAUGCUGAUAAACUAUGUGAAAGGGUUCCACGGGAAAAAUAAAUUUGGAACCCCUGCUCUAGCUACACACUAUCAUAUUAACUCUGGCAAUGCUAUAACCAAUCAGAAACCCUCUAAUGGGUAACUUCUCCCUGUAUCUGCUACGCCUACACACAUCACAUUGUGUGGCAAUAUUUGUACAAUGAAACGAUGAAUCAUGCUUGCAGGGCAUUUGAUGCCCCUCCCAUUUAAGUAACUUUUUAUAUUCUGUAGCUGACAUCAUAAAAAAGGCACUGCCCAUUACUUUCCCUUAUUCACAGAGAACAUGACUGGUUACUUUUAUUUUUUUACAGUCAGUCCUGAUCUUCCCAUUCUCUUCUUAAUGAGUUCUUUUUCAUUUGUAUUCUUUUUUUUAAGCAUGAUAACACUUGUGCCAGCUUCCAGUGCCAUUUUAAUAUUCCCAAGAAUAUUUUAUCCAUUAGUGUCCUUUAUUCAUGUACAUUUGAGGAUAGUUUAAGAUUAUAGUCAAGAUUUUUAUGUGUUGUUUUUCCAGUUAUAAGAAAGUUUUGCCUUAAAAUCUGCUGCUUUUCCCUUCAGGUUAAUUUACAAACAGAGUCGUGAGUGGGCGUCUUGAUAUUAACUAACAAGUACUAAUUGCUGCGCAUUAUAGAUUAUACAGGUGUAAGAUAUUUCACUGAAUAUUUUCUGAUGAAAACUUGUCAGAACUUUCAUAAAAAUGAUAAACAGAUAAAGCUCUUAAUAAAACCCUUUAUCUCUGCAGGAUUGCUAGACAUGCAUCUUUUACAGCACCUCACCCUCUAAAGUGCAUUAAAGGUCAAUGCCCAAACCAUAUUUCAUUUAGUAAGGGUUAAAAAAAACACCAGCGAAUAAGGGAUUUAUUUUGUUUGCAUUUUUCUUUUCUGCAAUAAAAGUUACAAAGUACAUUUUGUCCUAAACAGUUUUUAGCAGAUAAAUAGUAGUUUAUAUGAUUCAACAACGUUUUUAAUUGUUUUUUUAUAUUUAAAAACAGACAAAAGAGCACAAUAGCAGCAUAUAUAUUGUAUUACAGAAUGUUACACCCAAAUGUCUGUGUUAUUUUUUUUAAUUUUUUUUUUUUAAACAUAGGGGUUAUAAACUUAAGAAAAGUCAAAUAGUUAUAAUAAUUGGUAGAGCAGGUAUACUACAGACUGGUCAGCAGGACCAAGGGCGGUAAAUCUCAUCAAUAGUGUACAAUUAUGAGCUAAUAAACACAUAACAAGUAACACUGUACUGAACAAUAAAAAACUGCAGAGUAAGAAGGAACAAAGUAUAUAUUUUUAACCAAGCUUCUAUUGGCUGUCCUCUAGCAUUCAAGCAGUUAAUUGGGGAAUGUAGAACUGCCUAUUUCAUAUGAUAAUUAAUAUGCUGAAGAACAGAAGCCUUUUCAGCUUCAACAAGAUAUCUUAAUUACCUUUAAUUUAAAAAGGGUUGUUUUUAUUACUUUGCUGAUCUUUUUAUAUCUCACUUUAAUUGUUGUACAGAGGGAUGAAUCAUUCUUUUUUUGAAAGGACCCUUGAAAUGUAUUACAUGCACUGCAUGCAAGAAAGGGCACAGAAACUUGCUUUCUGAAGGUCAAUUGAAGUUUAUUUUUUAUUUUAUUAAAGAAAUAAGGUACUACUAGUAUGCCCUGACCUUUAAAACAGAUACAGCAGGCUGGAAAUUACCUCUGUUUUAAAUGCAUAAUAUAAAUAAUGUAUUUUAAAAAUACAAAAAUAAUAAUAUUGAAGCAAAAGAUAUUUAUAUUUUAAUUGUCCAUGCUUGCCAUAUAUUUCCAGGAUUUUCAGCCAUUGUAGUGAGCUCUCCAAGAAUCUUGAUAAGGUUGGUAAUUCAACAGCUCCUUCAAGUAUUCCUUGUCCUCCUGGAUGUGGGAUGCUGUGAGCCAACAGUUGGGUGAUUACAGGAUUUGUCGCUGAGAAAGUUCAAAGUAAAUAGAUGAGGGUACUGGAGGUGAUACCUUACUAUCCAUAGUAUCCAAAUUGCUGAUAUCCCUCCCAGGACACCAAGAGUCCAUUAAUAUUAAUCCAGUGGUUUUGGGCAUAUAUCCAUCCUGAAGCUACCUAGAACCCAAUAUCCCAUGGAUGGAACACUCCUUCAUGAAUCUUCUUGAGUAGGCAAGAAAGAUAAUCAUUUGGUCCUUCUGACGAUCAUUAGGACUCCAAUUGCUAAUCUAAACCUUGUCAAGAGCACCUAGUAAGUAAGCACCGAGUAAGUGAGUCCAGAACCUUACAGAGCUCCUGCUAGAUGGAGUAAGCAAAGGAAAAGACUAAUAGGGAAAGCAGAGGCGAGUGGUGCUCUGUCCCGAUGCCCGCGCUUUAGCUGAAUGUGCAGUGAGCCCUUCGGGCUCAUCAACCGAUGCAGAGGUCUCCUCCACUCCCAUGACUGCUGGAACAACAGCAAGGUGAGGGCCAAGGCCCACUUUACUUGUCCGAUGCCAGUGCUGCAGCAGUGGGUGUGAUUAGAUCCUCGGGCUCAACCACCAAUGUAGAGUUCUCCUCCACGACUGAACCAACAAAAGCAAGGUGGAAGCAGAGGCCAGCAGUACUUUGUCCUGAUGCCAGCUCUUUAGCUGUGGUUGCAUCCAUUUGAUCCUUAGUCCAUGGGGAAUGAUGCUGAACAGUAUUGCGCAGCUUCCUAUAGGGUUUCCAUUCUCUGAUGACUAGAUAUUCCAGAAUCGUGUCCCAGUUCUGGUACAUCUGAGAUGUUCAACAUAACCUCAGGGCUCUUUAAUGUCCCGGAAAUAAGAAUCCUCAUCAUGUCCAAAUUCAGUGUCCUCAUGGAUGCUUUAUCAUAAUAAUCAAGGGUCGCCAAAGUCAUAGCCCUCAGAGGAACAGUCACUCAUAACAUAUAAAUAUUCUUGCUAUGCAUAUCACUGCAGAGCUUUCUACCUGUCAUCCAGCUCUAUCUUCAUCUGGACCAGCAGCUCCAAUCGGGACACCCUUUGAUCUUGUGGCUUCUCUCCCAGGAAUGACAUUUGUAAAUCCCUCUGGAAUGUGAACCAUUGUCCUAGGGUUAGAAGAUGCUUGUCACGGCACACAAAUCAUGUCCUGUGCUGCUUCAUAAUAAUACAAUACAAUAUUUAUAAAGGUUUGGUGAAGACAAAGACUAACAAAAAAUAGUCCCUUGCCUGUAUAAACCAUAAUGUGCAAAUCUACCUGAAUAUGCAAAUUAACAAGCCUUGCUAUUCCGGUAGUGCAACUGUUGCACUGACAAGUGGUGCUGCGCAGGCCUCAGAGCCAGACAGAGGAUAACUCAAGGCAUUCUUCAAAUAAUAUUACAAUACACACCCUGCACCUAUAAUGGGCACAGCGUGAGUUAAACAAGAAUCAUCCAGGGAUCUGCAAAAAGUGAUAUAUACUCCCAGUGAUGGUGACUACCAUCACAGGUAGCUACAUGGAAUUAUAGGUGCUCCCGCCAUAAAUUCUGAAGGCUACAUUAAUUCCUUGAAAACAAUGGUGUUUACUGUAUUUUAACAAUAUUGUAUAUUGCCUGUUAUUAAGGUGUAUUAAUACAGAGUCUUAUUUUUCAUGAUGCAGUUUCCUUAUUGAUUGCUUGUAAUCCUUUAUAUCUAAGGAACUAAUAGAGCCUUUAUUAUAUAUUAUCUUCACAGUUGGCCAUGGUCAGAGUGAAGGAGAGAGGAUGACGGUAUCUGAUUUCCACAUUUAUGUCAGGGAUGGCCUGCAGCAUUUGGACCUCAUGAAGAAGGAGCACCCCAACCUGCCAAUCUUUCUCUGUGGACACUCCAUGGUAAGGGACAAGGGUUUAUUAAAUAAAUAGCUUAGAGGUUUGCCCUGGUGUUGCCAGGUGAGCUUACACUUUUAUGUCCAUGGAAUUGGUUCCGAAAACUGUGCUAUUUAAAAGGUUUAUUGGGAUAUUUGGGAUGGUGUGCAGGUACCAUUUUUUGUUUUAUUUUAUUUAGAUAAGAUAAUUUACUUAAUUGAAGAGGGUAUUCAAUUAAAUUUGCAAUAUUCUGCAUCACAUAACUUGCUGAUAACCAAAAAAACAAAACAAUGGCCUGUUACUGCUACUCAAGAAUGUGGUUUGAAACAUACCUAAGGAACCUCAUUCGUGCUAUAAGUAAUACUGAAGUAAACCCACAAUGUAAGUUAAAAAUAGAGUUUCCAGUUAAUUAGUGCUGAAUGUACUGAAACGUUAUGGGUAAUGAGAAAUAUUGUUGCCUUGUGUUUCUCAGGGAGGUGCCAUAUCCAUCCUCAUGGCCAGUGAGAGAUCUGUCGACUUCUCAGGUGUCAUCCUGAUAUCUCCCUUAGUUCUGCCCAACCCGGAAUCAGCUACGUCGUUCAAGGUAAGUCUCAUAGCAUCGCAGGACAUCAGUCUUUAUACAGUCAGAACAACUGGAAUUAUUAAAACUUGAAAGCAGAUGUGACACAAUUAGCAGCA